UACGUAGGGCGCAAGCGUUGUCCGGAAUUAUUGGGCGUAAAGAGCUCGUAGGCGGCUUGUCACGUCGGGUGUGAAAGCCCGGGGCUUAACCCCGGGUCUGCAUUCGAUACGGGCUAGCUAGAGUGUGGUAGGGGAGAUCGGAAUUCCUGGUGUAGCGGUGAAACGCGCAGAUAUCAGGAGGAACACCGGUGGCGAAGGCGGAUCUCUGGGCCAUUACUGACGCUGAGGAGCGAAAGCGUGGGGAGCGAACAGG
RNAcentral lists this ribosomal RNA (253 nucleotides) under uncultured bacterium. Its description in RNAcentral is "partial 16S ribosomal RNA". It matches the Rfam family "Bacterial small subunit ribosomal RNA", at positions 524 to 776 of the family's 1533-position model. The record is from RNAcentral.